UCGGCGCUGGGGUGUACGUAGGAAGGGCCAACAUGUUUCAUUCCUAAAAUACUCUCGGGGACCAGGACUCGUCUCUGGCUGCCAGGCCGGCAUCACGUCCGGAAGGCAAAAGGUUGCGAUUCGGUACCCACCUGUGAAGGCUAGAGGUAAGGAACCGGCCCCGACUACGGCAUCCUGGCCUUGUU
RNAcentral lists this non-coding RNA (185 nucleotides) under Puniceicoccales bacterium. RNAcentral describes it as "6S RNA". It matches the Rfam family "6S / SsrS RNA". Rfam says of the family: E. coli 6S RNA was the first non coding RNA to be sequenced, but its function was unknown until recently. It consists of 184 nucleotides that fold into an extended hairpin structure with a large single-stranded internal bulge. The record is from RNAcentral. Lineage: Bacteria; Pseudomonadati; Verrucomicrobiota; Opitutia; Puniceicoccales.